UUGGACUUUCGAGAGUGGCUCUGGGGAGGCCUAAACUCCUCUAAAAGUAGAGCGUCUGUCUCUUCGAAGAGCUCUCUUUUCUCGGCUCAUUCCUUCGGAGAUUCUGGCCCUCUUGGAUGGACCACCACUGGGGCUCUUUUGAGGGUGAGUUUCAAGACAAGGAGAACCUCUUUUCACUUCAAGUGUCCUCCUCAGGUGCUCUGGGUCAUCACGGAUCCGACG
RNAcentral lists this long non-coding RNA (222 nucleotides) under Elaeis guineensis (African oil palm). Its description in RNAcentral is "long non-coding RNA (EGUI_LNC005349)". Lineage: Eukaryota; Viridiplantae; Streptophyta; Magnoliopsida; Arecales; Arecaceae. The record is from RNAcentral.